This 252-nucleotide ribosomal RNA is filed under the name uncultured bacterium. RNAcentral's name for it is "partial 16S ribosomal RNA". It matches the Rfam family "Bacterial small subunit ribosomal RNA", at positions 524 to 776 of the family's 1533-position model. The record is from RNAcentral.
UACGUAGGGUGCAAGCGUUGUCCGGAAUUAUUGGGCGUAAAGAGCUCGUAGGCGGUCUGUCGCGUCGGAUGUGAAAAUCAGGGCUCAACCCUGGACCUGCAUUCGAUACGGGCAGACUAGAGUUCGGCAGGGGAGACUGGAAUUCCUGGUGUAGCGGUGAAAUGCGCAGAUAUCAGGAGGAACACCGGUGGCGAAGGCGGGUCUCUGGGCCGAAACUGACGCUGAGGAGCGAAAGCGUGGGGAGCAAACAGG